RNAcentral lists this ribosomal RNA (461 nucleotides) under uncultured bacterium. RNAcentral describes it as "bacterial SSU rRNA". It matches the Rfam family "Bacterial small subunit ribosomal RNA", at positions 29 to 506 of the family's 1533-position model. The record is from RNAcentral.
AUGAACGCUGGCGGCGUGUCUAAGGCAUGCAAGUCGAACGGUUUGUAGCAAUACAAGCCGUGGCAAACGGGUGCGUAACACAUUGGUAACCUUCCCCGUGGAUGAGUAUAACUCCGAGAAAUUGGAGACAAUCCUCAAUAAUAGUGGGGGGACAAAAGUCAUUCCCACUCAAAUCUUUCGCAAGAUUGGCCGCGGGAUGGGCCUAUGGCCUAUCAGCUAGUUGGUAAGGUAAAAGCUUACCAAGGCUACGACGGGUAGCGGGUGUGAGAGCACGACCCGCCUCACUGGGACUGAGACACUGCCCAGACUCCUACGGGAGGCUGCAGUCAAGAAUAUUCCUCAAUGGCCGAAAGGCUGAAGGAGCGACGCCGCGUGAUUGAAGAAGCCCUUCGGGGUGUAAAAAUCUUUUUUUAGGGACGAAUUUCGACGGUACCUAAAGAAUAAGGGGCUGCUAACCUCGU